Molecule: long non-coding RNA, 5627 nt
Filed under: Sarcophilus harrisii (Tasmanian devil)
Lineage: Eukaryota; Metazoa; Chordata; Mammalia; Dasyuromorphia; Dasyuridae
Description: lncRNA (ENSSHAG00000028919.1)
Source: RNAcentral
UUUCCUAGCCCCUCCCCAACAGUCCACAAGGAUUCAUUCUGAAUCCCUCCCCAGCUCCAGAAUUCUGUGAUUCUCUCAUUUAAAAGUAAGGAUCGCCCAGAUUGUCUUUCUCCUUCAAAGCCGGUGGAUCGACUCUGAUGGAACGACAAGUUCCCCGCCGCCUUCCCUUCCCUUCCUUCCCCUUCCGAGAUCAGGAACCCUUCUGGACAAAGUACAGUGAGUUCAAAAAGUCAGCCCUUGGACGCACUAUCAGUUUAGGCUGUUGUUCCAAAGUCAAAGGCACCGCAGGAAGGAAGCUCCAGAAGUAUUUGUUGGAAGCCCUGGGCCUGCAGUGGCUCUGCUUGGAUUUCUGCCUGGAAGUGAUUUCCUUGACCAUUUGAACCUGAAAACACGGUGUCGGACAGCCUCUUAUCGAUCCCGUCCAGAACCUCCCCGAAGAUGUCCAGCAAGACCACCAACACCAACAGCGUGGCCCAGGCCCGGCGAACCGUGCAGCAGCUGAGGUUGGAGGCGUCCAUAGAGAGGAUCAAGGUGUCCAAGGCGUCUGCGGACCUCAUGUCCUACUGCGAGGAGCAUGCCCGGGGGGAUCCUUUGCUCAUGGGAAUCCCGACUUCAGAAAACCCCUUCAAGGAUAAAAAAACGUGCAUCAUCUUAUAGGGCGUUGGGGAGCCCCCGGUGCCGCCCCCAUGAUCUAAGCAGCUCCAUGAAGAAACGUACCUUCCGCUCACUUGGUAACCACUGCUAAAAACGAAAAUGCUUUUAACUUGUAAAAACAAACAAACAAACAAAAAAUGAGUUUUAAAGCCUUUGUUUUUAAAAGUCUCCCUCUCUUUAGAGCAUACCCUUUACAAAAUGGAUGGGAAUCGGUCCGUUUGUCCUUGGUUUCAGUUGAAAUGACUCCAGGUGGUUCUUCUCUUAGGUCGGCUUCGGUUUGAGGGAUGCUGGUUGGGCUCGGCUUCUGUGUAAAUCCAUUGUCCAGUGAUCUGCUUUUUGAUUUGAGGGAAGACCAAAGUUGCCUCCUCCUCUUUCCAGAUCCCCCAGGCCCGCGGGUCUCUAAAACGCUUGCCCCCUCAGCACCCGUAAUCGGCCCGGUGCCUCUCUGUACAGUCCCCAAGUCUCGCAUGUGUUUGGCGUGUAUAUAUGACUUUGUAUAUAUACAUUUCAAAGUGCAGAUUUUCUAGCCCCCCGCCCCCGAGUUCUGCCUCUAGCCGGCCACCAAGGCCUCCGCCUACGGCUUCGGGGUGACGGGGACGGCCGCCCCCCAAGAGUCGUUUUCACGAUACCAAAUUCUGAUCACUUUCUCAUCGUCGUCACCCUCUUGUUUGCUUCUCUGGCCCUCACGGCCUAAAUAUAAACGGUGCCAAUUUAAGAGAGCGAAAAACAAACCCCUCUUGUAAUUCGAGGUGCUACGCUGUGAGGGCCCCCUUUGCUUUUACGGACCCAGCGCAGUCAGGAUACAGAAUCUCAAAAUCCCAGAGCCGGAUUGUCCAACCCGUGCCUAAACACGUAUCCUUUCUGUCACCCCUCCGGACAGGUCAUCCGCCUGCUCUGCCGGAGACCACGGACACCUCAGAGUUUUGUUUUUAAUUCAUAAAAUAAAAUUUAUAGGAUUACAACAAAGGAAAGCAGUUAUACCGAAAUUAUCAAAAUAGGAAAAAAAAAACAAGUUUAUGGACCCUCGUUAAAACCCCGGUCUAAUCCAGCCCAUUCCCCAUCUACACUAAGAAGUGGUCAUUGCUCAAAAACCUCCAUAAAGGUGAACCUCGCAAGGUGACCCAUUGGGAUAACCCAAAGGGCUAGGAGAUUUUUCCUAACCUCAAACCUAAAUUUGCUUCCCCUUGUUGCUCCUCGUUCAACCUUCCAAGGUCAAGCAGAAGGAGGGGAAGUGUAUUCAUGGGCCCAGUGACCAGAGAAGGGAGGUUGCAUGAAUGUGGUUUUCUCUACAAAAAAGGAAAUCAAUUAGCCUGCUAAUUGGGGGAGUCCGCCUCCUUCCUCUUGUAGGUCCAUCCAUUCUCUCUCCUCCCUCCCUUCCUCUUCCCUAAAUCUUACCUGUGUGUGGGUCUCCUCUCCUCCUCCCCUUACCUAAUCCCAGUUUGUAGAACCGCGGGCAGAAAAGGCCCAAGAUGUUGGUGGAGUGUCCCAUUCCUAGCAGCCCACCCUGCCCUGCUCUUCCUGGAGGCAAGACUAAGCAGUGUGAGAGAAGGCAACCCCCCCAAUAGAAAUACAAAGUAAAGAAGUCACCUUUCAUUCCCCCUCCCACUCAGGUCACUGCAGAGCUGAGCAGAGGACGUCCUGGGGACUUUUGGCUGGACUUAAAUGGCCCCCUCUGGGCCCAGCCCCUCCAGGCAGGUCAGGAGGGUCCUUAUGGACACAGACUGUGCACUGACUGCGCUAGACGCAUGGCAAUUCCCCUUCCCUCAUCUGUCACUCUGGGAGGCUGAUGCACUCUGACCCCUCACAGGCUUGAGCUGGGAGCCUUGGAGGCUCUCCAGAAAUGCGACUUGUUAGAAAAAUUCUUUACGAAUCCCAGUGGCCACGAACGCUGCUCCGGAAAGCCAGCCAAGGGGAUUCUGUCUAAUGGGCCCUUAGCAGACGCUCUUGGAGGCAGCAGCCCCUUUGAGGAGUGCUUUGUUCUAUCUGGGAGAAAAACCCUCCACAUCUGGAUUGAUCGUGGCCAUCAGACAGAUUCCCCUGCCUUCUUGUGGCGACUGUUGUGGAGGUUGGGAGCUUUGCCCUUCGUGCCUGGGAUUCGCCAUCACCCCUCACUACCAGCUUUGAAAACCGCUGCUCAGUGCUAUGGUUUGUCCCAUCCCCAAGUAAACGGAGGGCCUCCCCUCCCCAUGUCCAAAGCAAAAGGGUUACCCCCCCCUUCCAAAGCAUUAACUCGGCUGCGUAGAUGGGGAAAAAACCAUUCUCCCGGCCCCGACCCCCUCCUCACACUCUCCUCUUCUUCAAUGAUCUUAUUUUUGUAACGACCAUUUCCCAACUUAAUCCGUAUUUUCCAAUCUGAUUUUAACCACUAAUCAUGUAGAAUGCAGCCUGUUGCAAAAAGUGCAGUAGAGCUUGAUUCCAUGGGGACCCCGCCACUGAGGGUAGUCGCCCCUUACUCCGUAGUGUUAAACGGAUCCUUUAAUCUCUUAUUUCUAGUACUGGGCUUGCCCCGGCCAGGUCUGGCCCCUCUACCCCGCUCCACCUGCUCCUCCCCUGGCCUGCUGGAGAGCCUCCAGGCCUUCAAGCAUGGGCUCAGCUGCCCAACCAGCAGCCAAAGCCAAAUGACCCCAGAUCUAGACCUUGGCUUCUGGACCAAGACCGAAGUAAUAAUUCAGUGUUGACGGACCUAGAACCAAAAACAUUGUUGAUGUACCUAGAACCAAAAAGAUUAUAUGAGGAAAGAUAAUAUAUAUGUCUAUGCUAAACAGAAGUACAGAAGUCCCUUUUAUUUAACCGGCUCGAUCCCCCUUGUAAGGUUCAGCCGCUCUCGGAGCAGCUGCUGUGAUGAUUUGGGGCAGAUGUCUGGGUGUAUGACACCGUAAUGUUGACAGAGAUAUACGCCCACAGAUGUGUAUAUAUAAACUGUAACCCUCUGGCUUGGUUAUCACUGCACUUUCUACAGCGUGGGUUCAACGUAUGAACUUUGAUGGUAGUUUUGCCAAUAUGCUGUUUUCUCGGUUCGUCCCUUUCCCUCCAUCAUUCCAACACGUCUGUACAGUUUUUAUUUAAACUCGAGGUCUCAGUGCCAUGACCAUGUGCUAAAUAGAAUUUAUUGGUCCCAAAAUCUUUUACAGAAACACCUUUUGGACAGGGGAAAUAUUUUAUGUACCAGAUAAUCGAUUAACAAGUGAUACACUGUGUCUGCUUGCUCUUUUUUCCUACAAAAUCUGGUUUUUAAGUUCCCUGGGCGAAUUAAAAUCAAAAGUGCCAUAUUCACCUUUUAGAGAAAAGGUCUGGUGUUUGCUUUCAGCCCAAUUGAGACAAUUUUUAUACUUUUUUCAUCUAAACCACCAGAAGAAAAAUUUAUACCAAUAUUUUAGUGUAUAUAAAUGUGCAUAUGUUUUAACAGAUUCAUAGAGAUUUAUGGAAAUGCAGAGGCAUCUUUAAACCUGAGGCAGAGGCUAGAAAAACAAAUGGUGGAGGAUAUGUUCAGCUGUCUUUUCAGUUCUGUUAUAGCUAACUUUCUCGAUUUUAAAUGAAACGAGAAAAAUGGCAUUUAGCGAUCCGGUUACCCUGAAUUUCUUUUUUCUUUUGAGCUAAAACCUUCGAAAAGAUUCAUGGGCUUAGGAAGUGAAUUCUAACAUAAAUUAAUCCUUCCUUGCUGUCCGCCCUUAUACCAAAAGAUGAAUAUAUGACUAAGUGAGUGAGUAACAAUUCUCAAAGCUCUAAUUCGAAUAAUUAUGAGAAAAUCGAAUCUGGAAACUUCAGAUCGAAAUCUAUAAUUCCUGGCUUAUUGGCAGUGGUACGGAAAUUAAUCAAACCAUCCUUUUCUCUGAAUCAUAAACUGUCUCAGUUGGAAACGAUCCCAGAAGUCAUCUCGGCCAAGCCGUACUGGAAAAAGUGCUCCGGGACGACAUCCCCAAGUGUGGUCACCCGGUCCUUGCCCGACCGGGCAAGCCUCCCAGGCGAACCCUUCCGCUUUGGGAGCGUUCUGAUGGGUGGUGGGAAGAGAUUCCCGGCCUCCGGCCGCCACUGAUCUGUCUUCUGCCCUCCGGGGCCAAACGGAAUAAAUCUGAUUCUCCCUCCCCAGCCCCCUGAGCCAGGGCUCCAGGCCGCAUCCUCGGUGCCCCCCGGGCACGCGCUCUAAAGCACUGUUUUCAGAGAGGUUUCCCAGGGUUCCAAAGUCGAAGGCAGUAGGAUAGCGAGCCGGGACUGCCCGGCACCGGGUGACUCGCUUCCCGAUCCGGCCCCAGUCCCCCGGGCUGAGAAAGGACGGGCGAACCGGGUGACUUCUGGUCGUUCCAACUGGACAGACAGCUCCAUGGCCCCCCGACCCUCGCUCUCCCGCCGCCAUCUUCGUGCUGUGAGCCUCGCUGUGCUGCUGCUAUCUAAAUGUCGCUCCCCUCUCACGUCGCCCGCGCUAACGGCCCCCGAAAGUGUUUCUCCUGCCGCUAUUUUCUCACAGUUGGAAAACCUGCCUUUGUUACUCCCGUGGCGAUGAUGGUGUUUUGUUCCCUCCCGACUUUGUGGACUCCGUGACUUGCUUAAUGUUCUCUGUAUUGUUCGUGUGACUCCCCUGCGUGUCCUUUGGGUGUCCCCGAAAAUUUGCCUUUGAUUUCUAGUCCCUGAGACUCAGCCGUGUCAGAGCCUUCUCUGGCCCCUUGUAUGUUGUGUCGUGCGUAACCUUGACGCUGUGAUCAUCGUCCGAAAGACUGUCAAAGAUGGAAGCGUUUCUCUCCCAGCUCCUAUGUUCAAUAGCACGGAUACCAAUCAAACGAAUUAAAACAUCACGGCUUUCUAUUCUGCAUCGGCCUCCGCUUGUCUCAUUCUGUUCCCGGCGCUUCUCGGAGGGGUCCCUGGCCUUCCCGGGGCUGACAGAUGGACCGGCCCCAGGCCGCAACCCUCGCCCUCGGGACCAUCCCUCCUCCCUCCCCCGUGGUUCGGAGCCUCUCCCCCCACUUCCAUCCCUGGGGGAG